This 114-nucleotide ribosomal RNA is filed under the name Neogale vison (American mink). Lineage: Eukaryota; Metazoa; Chordata; Mammalia; Carnivora; Mustelidae. The record is from RNAcentral.
GUCUACGGCCAUACCACCCUGAACGCGCCCGAUCUCGUCUGAUCUUGGAAGCUAAGCAGGGUUGGGCCUGGUUAGUACUUGGAUGGGAGAAAUUAAACUUGGAAGCCAUUUGUA